This 388-nucleotide ribosomal RNA is filed under the name uncultured bacterium. RNAcentral's name for it is "bacterial SSU rRNA". It matches the Rfam family "Bacterial small subunit ribosomal RNA", at positions 28 to 417 of the family's 1533-position model. The record is from RNAcentral.
GACGAACGCUGGCGGCGUGCUUAACACAUGCAAGUCGAACGGAUCAAGGGAGCUUGCUUCCUUGGUUAGUGGCGAACGGGUGAGUAACACGUGAGCAAUCUGCCCUUGACUCUGGGAUAACUGCGGGAAACUGUAGCUAAUACCGGAUACGACGCGCGAAGGCAUCUUCUGCGUGUGGAAAGAAUUUCGGUCAGGGAUGAGCUCGCGGCCUAUCAGCUUGUUGGGAGGUAAUGGCUCACCAAGGCGACGACGGGUAGCCGGCCUGAGAGGGUGACCGGCCACACUGGGACUGAGACACGGCCCAGACUCCUACGGGAGGCAGCAGUGGGGAAUAUUGCACAAUGGGCGAAAGCCUGAUGCAGCAACGCCGCGUGAGGGACGACGGCCU